CUGCCCUAUGGGUUGUAAACUUCUUUUAUAAAGGAAUAAAGUCGGGUAUGCAUACCCGUUUGCAUGUACUUUAUGAAUAAGGAUCGGCUAACUCCGUGCCAGCAGCCGCGGUAAUACGGAGGAUCCGAGCGUUAUCCGGAUUUAUUGGGUUUAAAGGGAGCGUAGAUGGAUGUUUAAGUCAGUUGUGAAAGUUUGCGGCUCAACCGUAAAAUUGCAGUUGAUACUGGAUGUCUUGAGUGCAGUUGAGGCAGGCGGAAUUCGUGGUGUAGCGGUGAAAUGCUUAGAUAUCACGAAGAACUCCGAUUGCGAAGGCAGCCUGCUAAGCUGCAACUGACAUUGAGGCUCGAAAGUGUGGGUAUCAAACAGGAUUAGAUACCCUGGUAGUCCACACGGUAAACGAUGAAUACUCGCUGUUUGCGAUAUACGGCAAGCGGCC
RNAcentral lists this ribosomal RNA (436 nucleotides) under uncultured bacterium. RNAcentral's name for it is "bacterial SSU rRNA". It matches the Rfam family "Bacterial small subunit ribosomal RNA", at positions 411 to 848 of the family's 1533-position model. The record is from RNAcentral.